GUGGGGAAUAUUGGACAAUGGGCGCAAGCCUGAUCCAGCCAUGCCGCGUGAGUGAUGAAGGCCCUAGGGUUGUAAAGCUCUUUCACCGGAGAAGAUAAUGACGGUAUCCGGAGAAGAAGCCCCGGCUAACUUCGUGCCAGCAGCCGCGGUAAUAAGAAGGGGGCUAGCGUUGUUCGGAAUUACUGGGCGUAAAGCGCACGUAGGCGGACAUUUAAGUCAGGGGUGAAAUCCCGGGGCUCAACCCCGGAACUGCCUUUGAUACUGGGUGUCUGGAGUAUGGAAGAGGUAAGUGGAAUUCCGAGUGUAGAGGUGAAAUUCGUAGAUAUUCGGAGGAAAACCAGUGGCGAAGGCGGCUUACUGGUCCAUUACUGACGCUGAGGUGCGAAAGCGUGGGGAGCAAACAGGAUUAGAAACCCCGGUAGUCC
This 425-nucleotide ribosomal RNA is filed under the name uncultured bacterium. RNAcentral describes it as "partial 16S ribosomal RNA". It matches the Rfam family "Bacterial small subunit ribosomal RNA", at positions 354 to 796 of the family's 1533-position model. The record is from RNAcentral.